ACGGGUGAGUAACACGUGGGAACGUACCCUUUUCUACGGAAUAACCCAGGGAAACUUGGACUAAUACCGUAUGUGCCCUUCGGGGAAAGAUUUAUCGGAAAAGGAUCGGCCCGCGUUGGAUUAGCUAGUUGGUGGGGUAAAGGCCUACCAAGGCGACGAUCCAUAGCUGGUCUGAGAGGAUGAUCAGCCACAUUGGGACUGAGACACGGCCCAAACUCCUUCGGGAGGCAGCAGUGGGGAAUAUUGGACAAUGGGCGCAAGCCUGAUCCAGCCAUGCCGCGUGAGUGAUGAAGGCCUUAGGGUUGUAAAGCUCUUUCACCGGAGAAGAUAAUGACGGUAACCGGAGAAGAAGCCCCGGCUAACUUCGUGCCAGCAGCCGCGGUAAUACGAAGGGGGCUAGCGUUGUUCGGAUUUACUGGGCGUAAAGCGCACGUAGGCGGAUCGAUCAGUCAGGGGUGAAAUCCCAGAGCUCAACUCUGGAACUGCCUUUGAUACUGUCGAUCUGGAGUAUGGAAGAGGUGAGUGGAAUUCCGAGUGUAGAGGUGAAAUUCGUAGA
Molecule: ribosomal RNA, 556 nt
Filed under: uncultured Rhizobium sp.
Lineage: Bacteria; Pseudomonadati; Pseudomonadota; Alphaproteobacteria; Hyphomicrobiales; Rhizobiaceae
Description: bacterial SSU rRNA
Rfam family: Bacterial small subunit ribosomal RNA
Source: RNAcentral